UGAGGCCCAGCCUUGUGAGGGCUGUGGUGACCAACUCGAGAUUGCCAGGCUGUCAUAAAUUUUUUGGCUCAUGAGUUUAUGAGUGAAGCUAGCAUAGCCUGGGUGUCACCUGAGUUGAUGUAGCUGGGCCUUCCCCUGCCUCCGUGUUGUCCGUUGAUUUAUAGAGGAGUUUGAAUAACUGCUUUCCUUGCUGUAGCAGGGUAGGGG
Pelobates cultripes (western spadefoot toad) is the source of this 207-nucleotide non-coding RNA. The record is from the annotation of a GenBank genome assembly. Lineage: Eukaryota; Metazoa; Chordata; Amphibia; Anura; Pelobatidae.